RNAcentral lists this unclassified non-coding RNA (223 nucleotides) under Hevea brasiliensis (rubber tree). Lineage: Eukaryota; Viridiplantae; Streptophyta; Magnoliopsida; Malpighiales; Euphorbiaceae. The record is from RNAcentral.
UGAUAACUCACAUGCUUCUGCUGCUUCACACAUAUUUUUACCGAGAUGCAAUGAGCCGUGAGACUCGUGAUUUAGUGCUAUUCUGCCCCAAACUUGUGAAACCUGAGAGAAGUGGGUGACUCUACAUAUAUUCCACAUAUAUAGAUAUUUAACUGCAUAAUAUUCCUAGAGAUUAGCUAAUUCAAUAAUAGCCUGUACCCCUGGAAUUUUGAGUUUAUAAUUA